CCUCAGUCUCACUGUUCGUCCAUGUUGGGCCACAGCGCCGGCGGCUGUUGCCGAUGACAGUGGUAGCUUGACCUAAAUUUAUACCAUUAUCAGAUGUGCAAGGCCAUGCUGAUGAUGAAAAUGGGGCCGAUUUUGGGAAUUGAUUAUUGCAUUGGCCAAAUCGAAGGAAGUUUGGGAAGAACCCUAGGUCUCUAAUCUCGAAUUAAAUGGAGUUUGGAAUGAGUUAACCUCUAACACCAUAGGGAUUUCGCUCCCUAGCCUCAAAGCUACACUCCGGUACACUCAAUGCAAGAAAACAUCACAGAAGAGAAAUGGACUUACCAGAGAAGACGAUCGGAAACUUCAGUAGGUGAGUUCUUGAUCUCGAUUUACACGUUCCUUCUUCCUCUUUCUUCUUCUUCUUCUGAAUUUGAGAAUGGUGAACAAUGAAAUGAAAAUGCAGUGGUUAAGCUCAAGCGAGAUUGAAGCUUCAAUGUGAAGCUUCAAUGGCUUUUUUGAGAGAGAAGUAGAGCUUUGGUGAAGGUGAGGGAGGAGAUUGCAGAGUGACUGAGUUUCGAGCAAAAAAUGUUCAAGGUCCUUGAAUGAUGGUGAUGAUUUUGUUUAAAUAGAGAUGAGGUUUGGGAUUUGGUUAGCCUUGGAAUGAGGUUAGGAUUCUGUUAGACUCAGGUUUGGAUUUAGUUAAGCUUGGCUCACUGAGUUAGUGGUUAACUCAGUUAGUUGAUGUUUCACUCAGAUAGUUAAAUUGGUUAAUGUUAGUUGGUGAAUGAUUGAAUGACCAAUUUGUUUUUGUUGACUGGAUAAUGUAGGUUACACUUAAGUGGGAUUGGUCCAUUGGCUUAAGUGAUGACCUGUUGAACAGGUUUUUUUUCUAGUUGGCUUGGGUUUGGAGAUGGUUGUGGAAUACUCCAACUAGCAAGAACUUGGCACAUGAUGAGGCUCCAAUUCAGCACCACUAUCCAUUGAGGUAUGUGUGUAUUUGACUUGGGCAAGGGUUUGUGGUGAACACAGUUGAGCAAUCAAUUAUGCAUUGGUCUGUCGAAGGCUAUGAUGAAGCAAUAGUAGUUUGUGUAGCCUUGUUUUGAUGCAAAAGUAUUUGGAUCUUUAUUGUGUUAAUUUCAUAUCAAGCUGUUGUACCAAGUAUACAGGUUGUGGUUGGAUGGUUAGCAUGGCCAGGUUGCAAGUGUUAACUGAGAAAUUAUAAAUGUUAGGUUUAUGAUUAAAAGCCAUUAAUUGAUGAUGCCAUGCUGUGAUUUGUUUAGGAAAAUGGUAAUGCUAGUUGCAGGGGUUUCUAAUGCCUUCUGCCGGUCUGCUCAUGAUCUCAUUGUCCUUGCUUUGUACAUGUAAUGUCCAGUUAGGUAUGCCAAAUCAAGUUAGGUAUUGUAUGAAAUGGUUUUGGUUAAUUAGUUUGGAUUGUUUUGGUCUGUCGUGUUGCUGCAGGAUGCUGUUUAGCAUUGGUUUUGUUGGUUUGGUGCAAGGCUGUUGAGAUUUGGUGUGGUGGUGUGCAUGUCAUGAGUUGUUAGGAGUUCUACAGCACUCCAAAGAUUUGCUGCAGGAAAUCAGACUUGGACAGGUUAUGAAUAUGUAAUAUCUAGGCCAGUUCAGUGGAGAAUGGUACUACCAUCCGACUCAAUCAGAACCAAAGGCCAUGUGGCUUGGAUCAAGACCCAUGGUAAUGUAUUGAUUUUGCAGGUUGUUAUUGCUGUUUGGCGGCAGGCUCAUGGUUGCUGCAAGAUUCUAGUGACAGGAUAUGGAAUGGAUCGCUACAGCAGCAGGGCAUGCAUUUUCAGGGCCUGGUACAUUAUUUUGGUUCUGCCACAUGGAUAAUGAUUGGUCAUUGCAGGAUUUGCUGCAGGUUGCAUACUAUGGUUCAUGGCUGGCAGGUUGUGAAGUGAUUUAUGCAUGAUGGUUUGUUGUGCACCAUUAGGACUGUUUGAAAGAACCAAAUGUUGCCAUGAUGUCUUCUAUUAUAUAAGGUGAAGAGAUGGUUGCAGUGAGUCCAUCGUGGCCUUCAUCAAUGGUUUAAUUCCAUGUUACAACUUGCAAGACUAUCUAGUAUGGAAGACCUACUUAGGAUGCCAUGAAAUGUCAUGGUUUGCCAAGGAAACAUGGGCUGCAAUUGAUAUGUGUUUUCUAAUUGCCUUGAGUUUAAUUUGCAUGAAUUUGGGACAUGAUGAAUAAUUAUUCAUGUAUACAUGAUGCAGGGUCAUUGGAUGGUGGAAUUGGAUAUGGUUGUAAGGCAAAGUCCAAGUGUUGAAGAUAUGACCAAGUUCAAAGCAUGUUGGCAUCAAAGUGAAGAAUCAAGUUCAAAUGGUUAAAUCAAAAUCAAACAUGGACAUGGAGAAUGAAAUUAGAGCUAGGACUAGUCAUUUAGUGAUUAGGGAUGACCAAGGAUCUAGGUUGACUUUGGUCAAAGUUGACCAAAAAGUCAACUGUUGACCAAAGUCAACAAUUGGUCAAAGUUCACUUUUCCUUGUAUUUUUCUUGUAAAUCGACAAUGAAUGGAUGAUUAUGGUGAAAUUUAGGGUUUUUGGAGUUAGGGUUGACUUUGGUCAAAGUUGACCAAAAAGUCAAUUGUUGACCAAAGUCAACAACUGGUCACAAAUGCCAAAUUUUGUA
Long non-coding RNA from Lathyrus oleraceus (garden pea), 2616 nucleotides. RefSeq lists it as uncharacterized. Lineage: Eukaryota; Viridiplantae; Streptophyta; Magnoliopsida; Fabales; Fabaceae. The record is from RefSeq and is a predicted model, not a curated record. The transcript has 3 exons.